GUUAUCAUAGCUUACCCAAAGCAUAGCACUGAAAAUGCUAAGACGGCUACCACCUGACUAAC
This 62-nucleotide transfer RNA is filed under the name Rhabdophis tigrinus (Tiger keelback). RNAcentral describes it as "tRNA-Phe". The record is from RNAcentral. Lineage: Eukaryota; Metazoa; Chordata; Lepidosauria; Squamata; Natricidae.